GUAGUCCCGGCAGCACGUAUACUAAAAUUGGAAGGAUACAAGAAAAUUAGUAUGGCCCCUGCACAAGGAUGACAUGCAAAUUCGUGAAGCAUCCCAUAUUUUU
Molecule: small nuclear RNA, 103 nt
Filed under: Myotis davidii
Lineage: Eukaryota; Metazoa; Chordata; Mammalia; Chiroptera; Vespertilionidae
Source: RNAcentral